GAAGACCAGCCCUUAGCUCUGGGAUAGCUCCGGGAAACCGGGAUUAAUACCGGAUAUGACCACGGUCGGCCUCGACUGUGGUGGAAAGAUUUAUCCGCUAGGGAUGGUCUCGCGGCCUAUCAGCUUGUUGGUGUGGUAACGGCUCACCAAGGCGACGACGGGUAGCCGGCCUGAGAGGGCGACCGGCCACACUGGGACUGAGACACGGCCCAGACUCCUACGGGAGGCAGCAGUGGG
This 237-nucleotide ribosomal RNA is filed under the name uncultured Actinomycetales bacterium. RNAcentral's name for it is "partial 16S ribosomal RNA". It matches the Rfam family "Bacterial small subunit ribosomal RNA", at positions 120 to 358 of the family's 1533-position model. The record is from RNAcentral. Lineage: Bacteria; Bacillati; Actinomycetota; Actinomycetes; Actinomycetales.